RNAcentral lists this ribosomal RNA (319 nucleotides) under uncultured eukaryote. Its description in RNAcentral is "partial 18S ribosomal RNA". It matches the Rfam family "Eukaryotic small subunit ribosomal RNA", at positions 1470 to 1796 of the family's 1831-position model. The record is from RNAcentral.
CCCUUAGAUGUUCUGGGCAGCACGCGCGCUACAAUGGUCUUCGCAAACGGAUGCAUUCUCGAAGGAGAAUGCCAAUCUUGGAAUCUAUGCCUUGGUCGGGACAGUUGCUUGCAAUUUUUCGACUCGAACCAGAAAUUCCUUGUAAUCGUGAUUCAUCACAUCACGAUGAAUACGUCCCUGCCCUUUGUACACACCGCCCGUCGCUCCUACCGAUCGAAGAGUUAGGUGAAUUGUUUUGAUCGAUAAGAUUUGACUAUGGUCAACUCUCGUUGUGAAAUUCUGUGAAUCUGACUGUUUAGAGGAAGGAAAAGUCGUAACA